RNAcentral lists this ribosomal RNA (924 nucleotides) under uncultured Bacteroidota bacterium. RNAcentral's name for it is "bacterial SSU rRNA". It matches the Rfam family "Bacterial small subunit ribosomal RNA", at positions 1 to 916 of the family's 1533-position model. The record is from RNAcentral. Lineage: Bacteria; Pseudomonadati; Bacteroidota.
GGAUCCAGACUUUGAUCAUGGCUCAGGAUGAACGCUAGCUACAGGCUUAACACAUGCAAGUCGAGGGGAAACGAUAGAGAAAGCUUGCUUUUUCUAGGCGUCGACCGGCGCACGGGUGAGUAACGCGUAUCCAACCUGCCCAUCACUUGGGGAUAACCUUGCGAAAGUAAGACUAAUACCCAAUGAUAUCUCAAGAAGACAUCUGAAUGAGAUUAAAGAUUUAUCGGUGAUGGAUGGGGAUGCGUCUGAUUAGCUUGUUGGCGGGGUAACGGCCCACCAAGGCGACGAUCAGUAGGGGUUCUGAGAGGAAGGUCCCCCACAUUGGAACUGAGACACGGUCCAAACUCCUACGGGAGGCAGCAGUGAGGAAUAUUGGUCAAUGGGCGAGAGCCUGAACCAGCCAAGUAGCGUGCAGGAAGACGGCCCUAUGGGUUGUAAACUGCUUUUAUAAGGGAAUAAAGUGAGCCUCGUGAGGCUUUUUGCAUGUACCUUAUGAAUAAGGACCGGCUAAUUCCGUGCCAGCAGCCGCGGUAAUACGGAAGGUCCGGGCGUUAUCCGGAUUUAUUGGGUUUAAAGGGAGCGUAGGCCGGAGAUUAAGCGUGUUGUGAAAUGUAGAUGCUCAACAUCUGCACUGCAGCGCGAACUGGUUUCCUUGAGUACGCACAAAGUGGGCGGAAUUCGUGGUGUAGCGGUGAAAUGCUUAGAUAUCACGAAGAACUCCGAUUGCGAAGGCAGCUCACUGGAGCGCAACUGACGCUGAAGCUCGAAAGUGCGGGUAUCGAACAGGAUUAGAUACCCUGGUAGUCCGCACGGUAAACGAUGGAUGCCCGCUGUUGGUCUGAAUAGGUCAGCGGCCAAGCGAAAGCAUUAAGCAUCCCACCUGGGGAGUACGCCGGCAGCGGUGCAACUCAAAGGAAUUGACGG